AGGUCCAGUCUUAAUAAUGAGAAAACUUAUCAGACAGAUUCUAAUAGACACAGCCUCGGAUACAUCUCAACUGGUGAAGGUCUUCAAAGACAAAGAGUUUGAGAGACUGUUAUAGCCAGAACACUAAGGAGAUGUGAUGACCAAAUUAACUGAUGUCUCAGAAGAGGUCCUGGGGCACAAAAUGGACAUUAGGCUCCAUCAAAGGAAAUCUGAGCGAACUAGUUAGUAAGCACGCAUCAGUAUUGAAUCAUUUGUGAUCACAAAUGUGAACUGUGGCUCAAGCCUGCAAAGUCAGUGCUCAGGAUGGGGAGGAAGGAAGAUCAGGAGCUCAAAGUCAACCUGGACCAUAGGAUUCACUGUCUAAACCAAACCAAACCAAACCAAACCAAACCAGACCAAACCAAACCAGACCAAACCAAACCAAAAAACAGUUAUAACAAAAUACCAUGAUAGGGGAAUUCUCAAUAAGGAUCUCCCUCUUUCCUCCCUCCCUCCCCUGCCACCGUGUGUGUGCGUGUGUGUGUGUGUGUGUGUGUGUGUGUGUGUGUGUGUGUGUGUGUGUAGGCAGUAGAUGCAGAAAUCCUAUGCUGUCUGCUCCCUCCCACCCUAUAUCUAAAGCAGUUCUAAAAAUAAAAGCAGGCUGGGAAGAAAAGCCUGGGACUCCGGCUGCACCAGGAUUCUUGGGCUCUCAAGGAACGCAGGGCCUCAUUUAGCUCAAGCAGAAUCUGCUUACCUGAGGGUGGCCUUGAACUGCUGAUCAUUGUGCUGGGACUCCAGAUGUGCACCUCCAUGCCCGGCUCUGGCUCUUUCUCCUCUUCUCAUCUAGCGGCUAAGCCAGAGUCCUUGGCAACUAUGGAGGAAGGAGGCCCCCUGAGCCUCAGACCAACUACUCCCUGGGCAAUGUCCCAGGAAUGUUGCAGAAGAAGAAAUCAGCAGUCACAGGCAGCACUGUCAGCCCCAAACACUUACAGCCAGUGGGACUAAACACAUGCAAGUGGGUGGUUUCACCUGACGUGUGUGUAUGUGUGCGCGUGUGUGUGAGUGUGUGAGUGUGUGUGUGUGUGUGUGAGAGAGAGAGAGAGAGAGAGAGAGAGAGAGAAAGAGAGAGAGAGAGAGAGAGAGAGAGAGGGUCAGCAUAUAGAAAUAAAAUAAAAAUAAAAUAAAAUAAAAAUAAAAUAAAAGCAGGCUGGGAAGAAAAGCCUGGGACUCCGGCUGCACCAGGAUUCUUGGGCUCUCAAGGAACACAGGAUGACAUCGAUGGCCUUGAACUUGUGAUCCUCCUGCCUUGAUCUGGGACUUCAACUAGACCCUACGCUCUGGUUUUUGUUUCUUCUCUCGCUAAAGAUAAAAGGCACUCUGCCCACCGAGCUACACCCCGACCCCAUCUGUACUCCAUUCUAAGAAAGAAAACUUUGCUUGGAUCAAAGAGCAAAAAGGAUGAGGCCAUUGUGAGUUUCGCCAAGUGGAUGUGGAGAGCUCCUCUACAACAUGGAAGGAAGAGUUGGAUAAAAGGACUUGGAGCAAGAACCCUGCAGCUGGUGAUAGGCCUAAGAUGGCGCAUAUAUUCACAUCUGUGGGCCCUUUUACACACACACACACACACACACACACACACACACACACACACACACACAAGUAUGUCCCCCUUCCCACUCAGUGGGCAUGUGGGAGCCACCAGUGAGGAUGGGGCCAUUUCACACAGGAGCAGGACAGGAGGCCUUGGCUGUGUCUCCUUUCAUAUACAAGAUGCCCCAGGAAACAGCCAAACAAGGACAGUUGGUUGUAUAAGGACGGUUGUGUUGCUGCUGGGGGGUCCUGUGUGAGAUACUUAGGAAGUAAAGCUUUAAGGAAA
This is a non-coding RNA of Rattus norvegicus (Norway rat), 1852 nucleotides long. Lineage: Eukaryota; Metazoa; Chordata; Mammalia; Rodentia; Muridae. The record is from RefSeq and is a predicted model, not a curated record.